CUGAGAGGGAGAAGACAUUCGAGAGCAGGCAGGGAAAAAGCUAAAAAUUCAGAAAGUUGCAACUUAGUAUCAAACGUACCUUCUCGGUGCAAUGAAGGAAAAAUAUGUCCAUAAAUGGAGGAUUCAAGAAAGAAGCAGCAUUUGGAUGGUCAAAGUGACGCUUCCAGAGGAAUUGAAGAUAGAGAAAGAGGAGGGAAAUCUAUGUCACCCCAAUCCAAGUAUGCCCUUCCGAAGCAGUUAAAGCGGGUAAGGUUAGCUAUCAGCAUGCUGGAACACCACAAUCAUCAGCAAGAGAUGUACCUGGAAUAGCAGCUUCGAGAGGCCAAAUACUCCAUCCUCUAACAUUCUGGAGUUUGAAGGUCAGUGGCACAAAGGAAAGAAAGAGUGCAGAAGGUAGGAAGCAGCAAGUCUACCUUUUUCUUGCAUUCCAUGAUGCAUCAUGUCUAUUAGGAAUCUAUUUCUUUUGUAAGAUUGUUUCUCCCCCUUUGCCUGGUAUUUUGACAUGAUCAGAUAUUCGAGUUUACAUCGAAGAUCAAAGAAUUCAUCAAAGCGCAUAAGUGAUAUUGACUUUUGGAGACCA
Molecule: long non-coding RNA, 580 nt
Organism: Syzygium oleosum
Lineage: Eukaryota; Viridiplantae; Streptophyta; Magnoliopsida; Myrtales; Myrtaceae
Exons: 5
Source: RefSeq, a predicted model, not a curated record